CCGUGACUAUGAAAAAUGACUGCUCAAUAAAGACUUGAGUCACCUUGGAGUAAGUCAAGCCACAUAGUCAACAAUGUCUCUGUCUAAACUAUAGAAUUACUAAAUCGAAACACACUAGAAUAACUUCAAACACUGGAUCUGUAGAUCUACGUGUAUUCCAAAAUCCUGGUCUUCUUCAAUCAUGUUCUCAAACCAAUCAGGGAACUUCCAAAGACCAAAUUAUUUAAUCCCCAAACUCUUUCUGGCAGAACCCUCUGAAUUUUUAGAGAAAAACCACGCAAAAUUUUUUUCGAGAUUUUGAAACUUAUUGUUUCAAGGCGGCGAACACUCGAGAUACUUUUCACUUGUCUUCACGAGUCUGAGACCUUACUUCUUCGACUACUCGACUUUUGCUGCAAGUCCUUAUCUCGACAAAAUCUCCUUAAAGUCUCCUCUAUCUCAGAGUCUAUUCUAAAAUA
Molecule: long non-coding RNA, 458 nt
Filed under: Citrus sinensis (sweet orange)
Lineage: Eukaryota; Viridiplantae; Streptophyta; Magnoliopsida; Sapindales; Rutaceae
Description: long non-coding RNA (CSIN_LNC004401)
Source: RNAcentral